GAGAAGAACGUAGUAAAAUGCGAUAAGUAAUGUGAAUUGCAGAAUUCAGUGAAUCAUCGAAUCUUUGAACGCACAUUGCGCCCGCCAGUACUCUGGCGGGCAUGCCUGUCCGAGCGUCAUUGCUGCCCUCAAGCACGGCUUGUGUGUUGGGCCUCCGUCCUCCUCCCGGGGGACGGGCCCGAAAGGCAGCGGCGGCACCGCGUCCGGUCCUCGAGCGUAUGGGGCUUCGUCACCCGCUCUUGUAGGCCCGGCCGGCGCUUGCCGACACAUCAAUCUUUUUUCCAGGUUGACCUCGGAUCAGGUAGGGAUACCCGCUGAACUUAAGCAUAUCAAUAAGCGGAGGA
This 344-nucleotide unclassified non-coding RNA is filed under the name soil metagenome. RNAcentral's name for it is "partial contains 5.8S ribosomal RNA, internal transcribed spacer 2, and large subunit ribosomal RNA". The stretch from base 3 to 119 matches the Rfam family "5.8S ribosomal RNA", at positions 38 to 154 of the family's 154-position model. The record is from RNAcentral.